CUCGGCUCUCGCAUCGAUGAAGAACGUAGCGAAAUGCGAUACUUGGUGUGAAUUGCAGAAUCCCGUGAACCAUCGAGUCUUUGAACGCAAGUUGCGCCCGAAGCCAUUAGGCCGAGGGCACGUCUGCCUGGGCGUCACGCAUCGCGUCGCCCCCGCGCUAC
This 161-nucleotide ribosomal RNA is filed under the name Anthotroche pannosa. RNAcentral describes it as "5.8S ribosomal RNA". The stretch from base 1 to 137 matches the Rfam family "5.8S ribosomal RNA", at positions 20 to 154 of the family's 154-position model. Rfam says of the family: 5.8S ribosomal RNA (5.8S rRNA) is a component of the large subunit of the eukaryotic ribosome. The record is from RNAcentral. Lineage: Eukaryota; Viridiplantae; Streptophyta; Magnoliopsida; Solanales; Solanaceae.